GGUGCGGGAGGGUUGUCAGGUAUGCUCGGCAAAUUAUUGUAAAUCCGGGCAGUGAGUCGGCAAAUUGUUUCCUAAUAAGUUGGUAAAACGUGAAUAGGAUAGGAAGCUAGGGUAUAAACACUAAAAUAUUGGAGUGACACUCAUGAUUAAUUAAAAACUAAUAAUUAUAUGUUAAGAUCAAAUUUGGGGGAAUUAUGGGAAUAUUACCUAAUUACAAACAUCAACCAACAAGAUAAUGAAAAAUGUCCAGAAAAUUUUUUAUGUU
This is a non-coding RNA of Paramuricea clavata, 265 nucleotides long. NCBI's taxonomy places the organism in Eukaryota, Metazoa, Cnidaria, Anthozoa, Malacalcyonacea, Plexauridae. The record is from the annotation of a GenBank genome assembly.